RNAcentral lists this ribosomal RNA (396 nucleotides) under uncultured bacterium. RNAcentral describes it as "partial 16S ribosomal RNA". It matches the Rfam family "Bacterial small subunit ribosomal RNA", at positions 523 to 917 of the family's 1533-position model. The record is from RNAcentral.
AUACGUAGGGGGCGAGCGUUGUCCGGAAUGAUUGGGCGUAAAGGGCGCGUAGGCGGCGCGGUAAGUCUGGAGUGAAAGUCCUGCUUUCAAGGUGGGAAUUGCUUUGGAUACUGCCGCGCUUGAGUGCAGGAGAGGUUAUCGGAAUUCCCGGUGUAGCGGUGAAAUGCGUAGAGAUCGGGAGGAACACCAGUGGCGAAGGCGGGUAACUGGACUGCAACUGACGCUGAGGCGCGAAAGUGUGGGGAGCAAACAGGAUUAGAUACCCUGGUAGUCCACGCUGUAAACGAUGAAUGCUAGGUGUAAGAGGUAUCGACCCCUGUUGUGCCGGAGUCAACACAAUAAGCAUUCCGCCUGGGGAGUACGGCCGCAAGGUUCAAACUCAAAUGAAUUGACGGG